Acidianus manzaensis is the source of this 74-nucleotide non-coding RNA. Lineage: Archaea; Thermoproteati; Thermoproteota; Thermoprotei; Sulfolobales; Sulfolobaceae. The record is from Rfam.
GCUCGGAUAGCUCAGCUUGGGAGAGCGCUGGGCUGUGGACCCAGAAGUCCCGGGUUCAAAUCCCGGUCCGAGCC